Molecule: ribosomal RNA, 841 nt
Filed under: uncultured Planctomyces sp.
Lineage: Bacteria; Pseudomonadati; Planctomycetota; Planctomycetia; Planctomycetales; Planctomycetaceae
Description: bacterial SSU rRNA
Rfam family: Bacterial small subunit ribosomal RNA
Source: RNAcentral
AGAGUUUGAUCCUGGCUCAGAAUGAACGUUGGCGGCGUGGAUUAGGCAUGCAAGUCGAGCGCGAACCUGUCUUCGGACAGGGGACAGCGGCGAACGGGGUAGGAAUACCUCGGUGACGUACCCCCGGGUCGGGGAUAGCGGCGGGAAACUGCCGGUAAUACCCGAUACUCUGCCUUGAUUUGAACUUGGGGCAGCAAAGGUGUGAUUCCGUCUGGGGAGCGGCCGAGGCCGUAUUAGCUUGUUGGUGGGGUAACGGCUCACCAAGGCGAUGAUGCGUAGGGGGUGUGAGAGCAUGGCCCCCACCACUGGCACUGAGACACUGGCCAGACACCUACGGGUGGCUGCAGUCGAGAAUCUUCGGCAAUGGGCGCAAGCCUGACCGAGCGACGCCGCGUGCGGGAUGAAGGCCUUCGGGUUGUAAACCGCUGUCGGAGGGGAUGAAGUGCACGAGGGUACUCCCUUGUGUUUGACAGAGCCUCGGAGGAAGCACGGGCUAAGUUCGUGCCAGCAGCCGCGGUAAUACGAACUGUGCGAACGUUAUUCGGAAUCACUGGGCUUAAAGGGUGCGUAGGCGGUUUUGUAAGUCAGUGGUGAAAUAUAGCAGCUUAACUGUUAGGGUGCCAUUGAUACUGCAGAACUUGAGUACAGAUGAGGUAGGCGGAAUUGACGGUGUAGCGGUGAAAUGCUUAGAUAUCGUCAAGAACACCUAUAGCGAAGGCAGCUUACUAGGCUGUAACUGACGCUGAGGCACGAAAGUGUGGGGAUCAAACAGGAUUAGAUACCCUGGUAGUCCACACUGUAAACGUUGAUUACUCGCUGUGUGCGAUAUACAGUACGCGGC